GACGAACGCUGGCGGCGUGCCUAAUACAUGCAAGUAGAACGCUGAAGCUUGGUGCUUGCACCGAGCGGAUGAGUUGCGAACGGGUGAGUAACGCGUAGGUAACCUGCCUGGUAGCGGGGGAUAACUAUUGGAAACGAUAGCUAAUACCGCAUAAGAGUAGAUGUUGCAUGACAUUUGCUUAAAAGGUGCCAUUGCAUCACUACCAGAUGGACCUGCGUUGUAUUAGCUAGUUGGUGAGGUAACGGCUCACCAAGGCAACGAUACAUAGCCGACCUGAGAGGGUGAGCGGCCACACUGGGACUGAGACACGGCCCAGACUCCUACGGGAGGCAGCAGUAGGGAAUCUUCGGCAAUGGACGGAAGUCUGACCGAGCAACGCCGCGUGAGUGAAGAAGGUUUUCGGAUCGUAAAGCUCUGUUGUAAGAGAAGAACGAGUGUGAGAGUGGAAAGUUCACACUGUGACGGUAUCUUACCAGAAAGGGACGGCUAACUACGUG
Molecule: ribosomal RNA, 497 nt
Filed under: uncultured bacterium
Lineage: Bacteria
Description: partial 16S ribosomal RNA
Rfam family: Bacterial small subunit ribosomal RNA
Source: RNAcentral